Molecule: long non-coding RNA, 967 nt
Organism: Solenopsis invicta (red fire ant)
Lineage: Eukaryota; Metazoa; Arthropoda; Insecta; Hymenoptera; Formicidae
Exons: 3
Source: RefSeq, a predicted model, not a curated record
AGUGAAGUUGACAACGCGACGCGACGUCAUCCGCCGCCUACAGAACGCCACGGAGACGCAGCGCAGCGAAGUGCUGAAUCGUGUUUAAUCGAGAACUGCGUACGGCCUGCGCAAUUGGUGCGUUUCGGCAAUAAGCGCGCGCGUGUGAGAUCGCGUGUAAGGCAGCGUUGCGAAGGAGGGAAGGAACAGCAGAGGCUUCGUCGGCGUCGGUCGGUGCCGGGCAGCGCGACUGCGGAGAGCGCGCGCGAGGAGCAGCAGAGGCUUGGUUGGCGUCGGCCGCUGCUAGGAUUGCUGGCCAGCUCGACUGCGGAGAGCGUCCUGUUUAGGAUGAAAUAUCAUUCAUGGAUGGCGAGAUUCCAUGCGCUUUCGCGAAUAACGUUCACCGGAUUGUUCGAAGACGACAACGAAGACGACGACGACGAUGACAGCGAGGAGGGGAGCUGGUAAGUUUUACGGACAAAGACGUGGAAAGAGGAUCGAGCGGGCAGGAGAGCGGCAACGACUAUCCUCUGACCAGGGAAGUCUACGCGCCGCACUCCAUUAGUAUGCGCGGAAGUGCGCCGCGCUCGAUUGUGACGGGUAUUGUCACCGAAGAAUGUCCUCGUUGCGCGGAGCUCCGCGGCUCCGGACGGUUUCCUCGGUAAGGAGACGAAAGCGGGAAUUCGAGUGAAAUGUAAUCACUCUCCGAGAGUGAGCGUCGGGGAGAAAUCUCGACUGCACGGUUCAUCCGCUGCGGCGAAAAGGACUGGCGACGGCGCUAGAUGCCGAUAGACGCGGGGAGAGAGGGGGGGCUGUCUUAGGGGCAGCAUUGUCUUCUUGAUUUCAGAGAAUCCAGACUUCCGUGUCGUCAUUGCGUCGCCAGCAAUUGAAUUUUACGUCAACGUACGCCGCGAGUACCUGACGCGUAUCCGGCGCACGCGAGAAACUUAUUUCAUUUAGCCGGCAUUAGCUCGCGAAGAGGGAGAGG